RNAcentral lists this ribosomal RNA (995 nucleotides) under uncultured bacterium. Its description in RNAcentral is "bacterial SSU rRNA". It matches the Rfam family "Bacterial small subunit ribosomal RNA", at positions 355 to 1375 of the family's 1533-position model. The record is from RNAcentral.
UGGGGGAUAUUGCACAAUGGGGGAAACCCUGAUGCAGCGACGCCGCGUGGAGGAAGAAGGUUUUCGGAUUGUAAACUCCUGUCGUUAGGGACGAUAAUGACGGUACCUAACAAGAAAGCACCGGCUAACUACGUGCCAGCAGCCGCGGUAAAACGUAGGGUGCAAGCGUUGUCCGGAAUUACUGGGUGUAAAGGGAGCGCAGGCGGACCGGCAAGUUGGAAGUGAAAACUAUGGGCUCAACCCAUAAAUUGCUUUCAAAACUGCUGGCCUUGAGUAGUGCAGAGGUAGGUGGAAUUCCCGGUGUAGCGGUGGAAUGCGUAGAUAUCGGGAGGAACACCAGUGGCGAAGGCGACCUACUGGGCACCAACUGACGCUGAGGCUCGAAAGCAUGGGUAGCAAACAGGAUUAGAUACCCUGGUAGUCCACGCUGUAAACGAUGAAUACUAGGUGUGGGAGGACUGACCCCUUCCGUGCCGCAGUUAACACAAUAAGUAAUCCACCUGGGGAGUACGACCGCAAGGUUGAAACUCAAAGGAAUUGACGGGGGCCCGCACAAGCAGUGGAGUAUGUGGUUUAAUUCGACGCAACGCGAAGAACCUUACCAAGUCUUGACAUCCUCUGACGAACGUAGAAAUACGUUUUCUCUUCGGAGCAGAGAGACAGGUGGUGCAUGGUUGUCGUCAGCUCGUGUCGUGAGAUGUUGGGUUAAGUCCCGCAACGAGCGCAACCCUUAUGGUCAGUUACUACGCAAGAGGACUCUGGCCAGACUGCCGUUGACAAAACGGAGGAAGGUGGGGAUGACGUCAAAUCAUCAUGCCCUUUAUGACUUGGGCUACACACGUACUACAAUGGCGUUAAACAAAGAGAAGCAAGACCGCGAGGUGGAGCAAAACUCAGAAACAACGUCCCAGUUCGGACUGCAGGCUGCAACUCGCCUGCACGAAGUCGGAAUUGCUAGUAAUCGUGGAUCAGCAUGCCACGGUGAAUACGUUCCC